RNAcentral lists this long non-coding RNA (518 nucleotides) under Brassica napus (rape). Its description in RNAcentral is "long non-coding RNA (BNAP_LNC019444)". Lineage: Eukaryota; Viridiplantae; Streptophyta; Magnoliopsida; Brassicales; Brassicaceae. The record is from RNAcentral.
UUUUUUUUUUCAAAUAUUUCUAAUUUGAAAAGCAUUUUAAUGAGUUGUGUGAUUUGAGAUAGGGUGUGAUUUGUGAGUUUGUGUGUGGUUUGAGAAGGAAAGUUGCGGGUAUUUAUAGAAAAGCAGGGCUCGCUAAUUCCUCGUAAAAGGUUGACUCGUAAAUUCCACGUAAGCUUAAUCGUCGUAAAAAACUCGUAAACCUAAAUGCGGGCCUUUGUAAUUCAUCGCUACUUCCUCGUACAAUAAAACACGGACCUUUGUAAUUCCUCGUAAAGCUAAACGCGGGCCUUUGUAAUUCCUCGCUACUUCCUCAUACAAUAAAAAACGGGCCUUUGUAAUUCCUCGUAACUUUACGAGGAAAUAACGAGGAUAAGUAAUCUUAUAUAUACUUCCGAUCGCUCACUCUUUCUUUCCUCUCCACUUCCUCUCUAUUUCGUAGCAAUGGUAAGUCUCUCUAAUUCAUCUCUAAUUUGAUUAGUUUAGGAUAUAUUAGGUGGUUAGUAUAGGGAAUUUAGAUA